AACUGCAGCAGGCGAUAAUGAGCGGAGGAGUGGCGGCGCAAGAUAACAGGAGAGGAGACGACGGCGGGCUAGGAUGCUCUGGGGGAGUAGAGGGGCAGGCGGAGGAUGCGGAGUCCGCUUACGUUGAUCCCGAGAGGGUGAUAGUGACAGCAGGUCCGAGUUGCAAGGGGUGCCAGAAACGGGCGGCAACGGUGGUGCUGCUGCCGUGUCGGCAUCUGUGUCUCUGUACAGAAUGUGACCAAGUAGUUCAAGCUUGCCCACUUUGCCUCCAAGUAAGAAAUUCCAGUGUAGAGGUUUUUCUGUAUUAGCCCAAUGCAGUAGGCCCGGGCCCAUUAAGAAGCCCAGCCCAUAUGGGAUUGAAAGUUUUUACAAGGACUAAGAAAAAAAAAGGAAAAAUAAAAAAAAUAAAAAAGUCUUUCAGUAUUAUUUUACUCAGAAUUAU
RNAcentral lists this unclassified non-coding RNA (442 nucleotides) under Hevea brasiliensis (rubber tree). The record is from RNAcentral. Lineage: Eukaryota; Viridiplantae; Streptophyta; Magnoliopsida; Malpighiales; Euphorbiaceae.